This 380-nucleotide ribosomal RNA is filed under the name uncultured bacterium. RNAcentral describes it as "bacterial SSU rRNA". It matches the Rfam family "Bacterial small subunit ribosomal RNA", at positions 30 to 411 of the family's 1533-position model. The record is from RNAcentral.
AUUGAACGCUGGCGGCAGGCCUAACACAUGCAAGUCGAGCGGUAGAGAGGUGCUUGCAUCUCUUGAGAGCGGCGGACGGGUGAGUAAUGCCUAGGAAUCUGCCUAGUGGUGGGGGAUAACGUUCGGAAACGGACGCUAAUACCGCAUACGUCCUACGGGAGAAAGCGGGGGAUCUUCGGACCUCGCGCCAUUAGAUGAGCCUAGGUCGGAUUAGCUAGUUGGUNAGGUAAUGGCUCACCAAGGCGACGAUCCGUAACUGGUCUGAGAGGAUGAUCAGUCACACUGGAACUGAGACACGGUCCAGACUCCUACGGGAGGCAGCAGUGGGGAAUAUUGGACAAUGGCGCAAGCCUGAUCCAGCCAUGCCGCGUGUGUGAGAA